GACGAACGCUGGCGGCGUGCUUAACACAUGCAAGUCGAGCGGUAAGGCCCUUUCGGGGGUACACGAGCGGCGAACGGGUGAGUAACACGUGGGUGACCUGCCCUCAGCUCGUGGGUAAGCCUGGGAAACCGGGUCUAAUACCGGAUAUGACUCCAUGACGCAUGUUGUGGGGUGGAAAGCCUUGUGCGGCUGAGGAUGGGCCCGCGGCCUAUCAGCUUGUUGGUGGGGUGAUGGCCACCAAGGCGACGACGGGUAGCCGGCCUGAGAGGGCGACCGGCCACACUGGGACUGAGACACGGCCCAGACUCCUACGGGAGGCAGCAGUGGGGAAUCUUGCGCAAUGGGCGAAAGCCUGACGCAGCGACGCCGCGUGAGGGAUGACGGCCUCGGUUGUAA
RNAcentral lists this ribosomal RNA (396 nucleotides) under uncultured bacterium. Its description in RNAcentral is "bacterial SSU rRNA". It matches the Rfam family "Bacterial small subunit ribosomal RNA", at positions 28 to 428 of the family's 1533-position model. The record is from RNAcentral.